RNAcentral lists this ribosomal RNA (293 nucleotides) under uncultured bacterium. RNAcentral's name for it is "partial 16S ribosomal RNA". It matches the Rfam family "Bacterial small subunit ribosomal RNA", at positions 505 to 796 of the family's 1533-position model. The record is from RNAcentral.
GUGCCAGCCGCCGCGGUAAUACGGGGGGAGCAAGCGUUGUUCGGAUUUACUGGGCGUAAAGGGCGCGUAGGCGGCCACCGCAAGUCAAUUGUGAAAUCUCCGGGCUUAACUCGGAAAGGUCAACUGAUACUGCGGGGCUAGAGUGCGGAAGGGGCAACUGGAAUUCUCGGUGUAGCGGUGAAAUGCGUAGAUAUCGAGAGGAACACCUGCGGCGAAGGCGGGUUGCUGGGCCGACACUGACGCUGAGGCGCGAAAGCCAGGGGAGCGAACGGGAUUAGAAACCCUAGUAGUCC